UCUUUACUCCCGCUGUUGACAUAAGGGUGUGAUUUCAUACUUCCAUUCGUGGGAUGAUUUUAGGCUUUAUGUACAAAGUUAAGCUCAUUCAAUUGCAACCCUGGAAACUGAUCAAAUAAAUAUGAGUCUACUCCCGACCUAUAUGCCAUAUUUGCCAUAUUCAGAAAGUAUUAGUAAAAGAGUGUUCAGCAUUGUGAUUAUUGUCUGCUGCAGCAAACUAGCUAUGCCGACAUGCUAGAUUUAGCUGUUCAACAUAUUAAAGGUCUUCAGACACAAGUUCAGGUCAGUUUAUGCUCUACAUCCACUUUUUUAUGCAUUAUAACUUCCUGUUCUCCAGUUGGUUAUGAUAUUUAGAGUCAGGUUUACAUCCAAAUAUUGUCAGCUAUGUGUGCGCUAUAGUAAAGUACUCACCUUGUGUCCUCUAUUUGAAGUCCUUAAUCAUAUUUGUGUCUUAGAUAGAACUCAUCGGUACACUCAUCGUUUAGCACCUAUUAUAAUAUUGAGCAGUCUUUGUCAUAACGAGGUACUGGACAGCAGUAUAAUUCUAGCUGGUAUAAGUUAAAUAGUGACAGGCUUAUCAUAUGACUUACAAUUUACACUGAUAAAUGGUUUGAUGUCUGAACAUUAUGUUAAAAGAUUUUAAGUCUCAGAAUAAAAAUUGAAAAAGUUUCAACUAAAAUACUGAUGUAAUCCAGAGAAGAGAACUCUAAAAUUUACCAAUGCUGGCCUUCAAACUCUUCUAAGAGUUGUUCGUUAUAAUUGUGUAUUUCCAGGAUUAAGGCAGUGUCCUAGUUGAUGUCCCCAGAGUUCCGUGACCAUUAGGCUUUUAGAGUCGUAUUUGCAGGAUAAGGCAGAGUUGUAGAUUGUAAAUCCAGAGUUUCGUGACCAAAAGGCUUUAGAUGCUUUUAUUUUUUUCAAGUAGUGGUCAGUUACAGAAAUGUAUGCAGUCACUCACCCCAACUCCACUGAGGUUCAAACUCUGGAUAGCUUGUUACCAAAGAGUAGACAGCUAUCCACAAGGAAACCUAUCUUACUAAUAACAUAGAAAGGGGCAAGCCAAAACCUACUCCUAACAAGCAGCCGGCUUUUCAUCAGCCGUUGCGCGCUUCUGUUUUUCAGCAGGCUUCUUCAAAUAUCCCAUAAAUGAAGUAGGGGCUAUAACUUAUAAGUGUAAGUAGCUAGCUAUCGCGCUAGCGUUUUCCCUUACUAGUAAAGGGGCUGCUAGUUGUAGCGCGCCAGUGUACUGGUGAAUAGGAAAGGCGAAUUUAGAUGACUAAUGACGGAUGGAGGUUGAGGAUAGAACAUGUUCGGUGCCUCGCCCUUGUCUCCUUCGCCGGAGACUUCAAAUGCUGGGAAUCCUCUCGAUAAAGAAGAGGCAUAAGCAUUGCCUCUCGAUCCAAUCCGUCUUCCCUGCCUCCCCAACACACUCUGGAUACGAAAGAAACCUCCCGCCAUAGAGAAGAGAUCUAAAGCCUGGGUCCCCUCGAUCGCCCUCCCUUGAACCUGAACAGGUCGAGAGAGAUGAACCCGCACCACAUUUUAGAACCUUCGAACCGAAACCCCCAACUAGAGAUGGAAUUCAAGAACCUAAACAACUCAGUUGAGAGCUCCGCGACUGGUUCAAGGGAAGGUCCACCAAUGAUUGAUAGGCCCCCCUAUCCGUCUCUUGAUCCCUCAUUCCACUAAUCCGUUGUUACUGAUUCAUUCAAGGCAUAGACUCCCCACUUCUUUGUCUUAUUAGCGCAGGUGUUCAUCAACGAUGAAAGCCGCUGAACUUAAGACUCGAGUUGAGAAAGAGGGCUAGGCCACCGGGAGGGCUUUCAGGGACCGGGGGGGGUACUAAUAACAUAGAAAGGGGCAAGCCAAAACCUACUCCUAACAAGCAGCCGGCUUUUCAUCAGCCGUUGCGCGCUUCUGUUUUUCAGCAGGCUUCUUCAAAUAUCCCAUAAAUGAAGUAGGGGCUAUAACUUAUAAGUGUAAGUAGCUAGCAAUACCCGAGAUACAGCUUGUUUUUAUACCUUGUCAUACAAUAUACUAAUCCCUCUACCAUUACCUUUCCAAUUCGGUAAAUAUGCAAAUGAUAUUUCCCUAACUUUGGUUUCAGGAGAAAGGUACGCAUUAGUGUUAUUACUUUUUCAUGAGCCAUCAACUGGGUGAUCUUUUUAAUCAAUAUAUGAUAUGCUUCUUUGCACGAUUUUCUUUUUAACCAGUUACCAUUUUUGUUCUCAUGUUCUCCAGAAG
RNAcentral lists this long non-coding RNA (2241 nucleotides) under Daucus carota (carrot). RNAcentral describes it as "long non-coding RNA (DCAR_LNC001164)". The record is from RNAcentral. Lineage: Eukaryota; Viridiplantae; Streptophyta; Magnoliopsida; Apiales; Apiaceae.